CUUCCUGGAAAAUUUCCGAAGGACUGCUGGCUGGAAACUUAAGGCUAGUGUGGAUCUGACGGUAGUUUGCCAAAUUAAGAAAACGUUUUUACUCCAUUGAAGAUUUGCUUUAACUUCAAAAGCGAUUACAACAAAGUAUGGACACCCCUUCAGAGCCAACCUGGCCCAGCUGUAGCAUCAGCUGACUCCGUGGGGAAGCUCUGGCACUAGGAUGACCCUUUAAUCUUCACUGGAAGCAGACCCUCACCAGACACCAAAUCUGUUAACACCUUGAUCAUAGACUUCCCAACCUCCAGAAAUGUGAGAAACAAAUUUCUGUUGUUUAUACACUACCCAGUUUAAGGUUUUUGGUUAUAGCAGCCUGAAUGAGGUAAGUCACAGCUUAGGCAUUGGGGAUCGGAAUAUGAGAGAAGCGAUGCUGUGUUCUUCUCAUUGUAUUAAUACUGUAUCAGUAAACAUGUGGUGCUGAUUUGUCCCAUUACUGAUGAUAACACAUUUAUCACUCAUUUAAAGUGACAUCUUCCAGGUUUCUCAAUUGUAAAGUUUCUGUUUCUCUCUGGAGGGAGAUGUUUUUAGACUGUAAAUAUCCUGUUCCUCAAUAAUUACCCAUUCAUUUCAGCAUCCAUCCAUGGUUUUUACCUCAAUAUGUUCUUCUUAUAAUGACUGCCAAAUUGUAGUUUUCUCAUUUCAUCAUUCUUUCUA
Cercocebus atys (sooty mangabey) is the source of this 702-nucleotide long non-coding RNA. RefSeq lists it as uncharacterized. The transcript is spliced from 3 exons. The record is from RefSeq and is a predicted model, not a curated record. Lineage: Eukaryota; Metazoa; Chordata; Mammalia; Primates; Cercopithecidae.